UGCGCAGGCGGGCUUGUAAGUCAGUGGUGAAAUACUGCCGCUUAACGGUAGAACUGCCAUUGAUACUGCAAGUCUUGAAUAUGGUUGAGGUAGGCGGAAUGUGUUGUGUAGCGGUGAAAUGCAUAGAUAUGACACAGAACGCCGAUUGCGAAGGCAGCUUACUAAGCCAUUAUUGACGCUGAGGCACGAAAGCGUGUGGAGCGAACAGGAUUAGAUACCCUGGUAGUCC
RNAcentral lists this ribosomal RNA (229 nucleotides) under uncultured bacterium. RNAcentral describes it as "partial 16S ribosomal RNA". It matches the Rfam family "Bacterial small subunit ribosomal RNA", at positions 568 to 796 of the family's 1533-position model. The record is from RNAcentral.